CCUACGGGUGGCAGCAGUGAGGAAUAUUGGUCAAUGGUCGGGAGACUGAACCAGCCAAGCCGCGUGAGGGAGGAAGGUACAGAGUAUCGUAAACCUCUUUUGUCAGGGAACAAAGACUGGGACGCGUCCCCGGAUGAGUGUACCUGAAGAAAAAGCAUCGGCUAACUCCGUGCCAGCAGCCGCGGUAAUACGGAGGAUGCGAGCGUUAUCCGGGUUUAUUGGGUUUAAAGGGUGCGCAGGCGGUCUGUUAAGUCAGCGGUCAAACCCCGGGGCUCAACCCCGUCCCGCCGUUGAAACUGGCAGUCUCGAGUGGGAGAGAGGUAGGCGGAAUGCGCGGUGUAGCGGUGAAAUGCAUAGAGAUCGCGCAGAACUCCGAUUGCGAAGGCAGCAUGCCGGCUCCACACUGACGCUGAGGCACGAAAGCGUGGGUAGCGAACAGGAUUAGAUACCCGAGUAGUC
RNAcentral lists this ribosomal RNA (459 nucleotides) under uncultured bacterium. RNAcentral describes it as "partial 16S ribosomal RNA". It matches the Rfam family "Bacterial small subunit ribosomal RNA", at positions 338 to 795 of the family's 1533-position model. The record is from RNAcentral.